GAUGAACGCUGGCGGCGUGCCUAAUACAUGCAAGUCGAGCGAACAGACGAGGAGCUUGCUCCUCUGACGUUAGCGGCGGACGGGUGAGUAACACGUGGAUAACCUACCUAUAAGACUGGGAUAACUUCGGGAAACCGGAGCUAAUACCGGAUAAUAUAUUGAACCGCAUGGUUCAAUAGUGAAUGACGGUUUUGCUGUCACUUAUAGAUGGAUCCGCGCCGCAUUAGCUAGUUGGUAAGGUAACGGCUUACCAAGGCAACGAUGCGUAGCCGACCUGAGAGGGUGAUCGGCCACACUGGAACUGAGACACGGUCCAGACUCCUACGGGAGGCAGCAGUAGGGAAUCUUCCGCAAUGGGCGAAAGCCUGACGGAGCAACGCCGCGUGAGUGAUGAAGGUCUUCGGAUCGUAAAACUCUGUUAUUAGGGAAGAACAAAUGUGUAAGUAACUAUGCACGUCUUGACGGUACCUAAUCAGAAAGCCACGGCUAACUACGUG
This 497-nucleotide ribosomal RNA is filed under the name uncultured bacterium. RNAcentral's name for it is "partial 16S ribosomal RNA". It matches the Rfam family "Bacterial small subunit ribosomal RNA", at positions 28 to 507 of the family's 1533-position model. The record is from RNAcentral.